CAGCACCUCAAGUGGUCAGGAUGAUUAUUGGGCCUAAAGCAUCCGUAGCCGGCUCUGUAAGUUUUCGGUUAAAUCUGUAUGCUCAACAUACAGGCUGCCGGGAAUACUGCAGAGCUAGGGAGUGGGAGGGGUAGACGGUACUCGGUAGGAAGGGGUAAAAUCCUUUGAUCUAUUGAUGACCACCUGUGGCGAAGGCGGUCUACCAGAACACGUCCGACGGUGAGGGAUGAAAGCUGGGGGAGCAAACCGGAUUAGAUACCCGAGUAGUCC
This 270-nucleotide ribosomal RNA is filed under the name uncultured archaeon. Its description in RNAcentral is "partial 16S ribosomal RNA". It matches the Rfam family "Archaeal small subunit ribosomal RNA", at positions 477 to 747 of the family's 1478-position model. The record is from RNAcentral.